This 468-nucleotide ribosomal RNA is filed under the name uncultured bacterium. RNAcentral's name for it is "partial 16S ribosomal RNA". It matches the Rfam family "Bacterial small subunit ribosomal RNA", at positions 28 to 507 of the family's 1533-position model. The record is from RNAcentral.
GACGAACGCUGGCGGCGUGCUUAACACAUGCAAGUCGAACGGAAAGGCCCUGCUUUUGUGGGGUGCUCGAGUGGCGAACGGGUGAGUAACACGUGAGUAACCUGCCCUUGACUUUGGGAUAACUUCAGGAAACUGGGGCUAAUACCGGAUAGGAGCUCCUGCUGCAUGGUGGGGGUUGGAAAGUUUCGGCGGUUGGGGAUGGACUCGCGGCUUAUCGGCUUGUUGGUGGGGUAGUGGAUUACCAAGGCUUUGACGGGUAGGCGGCCUGAGAGGGUGACCAGCCACAUUGGGACUGAGAUACGGCCCAGACUCCUACGGGAGGCAGCAGUGGGGAAUAUUGCGCAAUGGGCGGAAGCCUGAUGCAGCAACGCCGCGUGCGGGAUGACGGCCUUCGGGUUGUAAACCGCUUUCGCCUGUGACGAAGCGUGAGUGACGGUAAUGAGUAAAGAAGCACCGGCUAACUACGUG